RNAcentral lists this ribosomal RNA (496 nucleotides) under uncultured bacterium. Its description in RNAcentral is "partial 16S ribosomal RNA". It matches the Rfam family "Bacterial small subunit ribosomal RNA", at positions 28 to 507 of the family's 1533-position model. The record is from RNAcentral.
GAUGAACGCUGGCGGCGUGCCUAAUACAUGCAAGUCGAGCGAACGGACGAGAAGCUUGCUUUUCUGAUGUUAGCGGCGGACGGGUGAGUAACACGUGGAUAACCUACCUAUAAGACUGGGAUAACUUCGGGAAACCGGAGCUAAUACCGGAUAAUAUUUUGACCGCAUGGUUCAAAAGUGAAAGACGGUCUUGCUGUCACUUAUAGAUGGAUCCGCGCUGCAUUAGCUAGUUGGUAAGGUAACGGCUUACCAAGGCAACGAUGCAUAGCCGACCUGAGAGGGUGAUCGGCCACACUGGAACUGAGACACGGUCCAGACUCCUACGGGAGGCAGCAGUAGGGAAUCUUCCGCAAUGGGCGAAAGCCUGACGGAGCAACGCCGCGUGAGUGAUGAAGGUCUUCGGAUCGUAAAACUCUGCUAUUAGGGAAGAACAUAUGUGUAAGUAACUGUGCACAUCUUGACGGUACCUAAUCAGAAAGCCACGGCUAACUACGUG